Long non-coding RNA from Oncorhynchus tshawytscha (Chinook salmon), 305 nucleotides. The record is from Ensembl. Lineage: Eukaryota; Metazoa; Chordata; Actinopteri; Salmoniformes; Salmonidae.
GGGGGCGGCAGGGUAGCCUAGUGGUUAGAGUGGAGGGGUGGCAGGGUAGCCUAGUGGUUAGAGUGUAGAGGUGGCAGGGUAGCCUAGUGGUUAGAGUGGAGGGGCGGCAGGGUAGCCUAGUGGUUAGAGUGUAGAGGUGGCAGGGUAGCCUAGUGGUUAGAGUGGAGGGGUGGCAGGGUAGCCUAGUGGUUAGAGUGGAGGGGCGGCAGGGUAGCCUAGUGGUUAGAGUGUAGAGGUGGCAGGGUAGCCUAGUGGUUAGAGUGUAGAGGUGGCAGGGUAGCCUAGUGGUUAGAGUGGAGGCCUAG